GUUUUGGUCCUAAACUUGCCAUUGUUUUUAAUCAAGAUUACACAUGCAAGCUUCAACACACCAGUGAGAAUGCCCACAACCCCUAAACAGCCCAAAGGAGCGGGCAUCAGGCUCACUACAUCAUACAAGCCGAAAACGCCUUGCUACGCCACACCCACACGGGUACUCAGCAGUGAUAAACCUUAACCCAUGAGCGAAAGCUCGACUUAGCUAUGAUUGAUUCUGGUCGGUAAAUUUCGUGCCAGCCACCGCGGUUAUACGAAAGACCUAAAACAAUGGCCCCCGGCGUAAAGAGUGACCCAGAGACACCCUUAAAGUUAAAGAAAAACCACUCCAAAGUCGUAAAACACCAUGCUAGUGAGAACCCCAACAACAAAUGCCUUUAAACAAACGGGCCUUCGCCUCACGAAAGCUAAGAAACAAACUAGGAUUAGAUACCCUACUAUGCUUAGCCCUUAACAAAAAUAGCACGAAAACCAUGCUAUUCGCCAGAGAACUACAAGUGAAAAACUUAAAACUCCAAGGACUUGGCGGUGCUCCAUAUCGCCCUAGAGGAGCCUGUCCUAUAAUCGAUACCCCACGUUAAACCCUACCAUUUUUUGCAACCUCAGCCUAUAUACCGCCGUCGUCAGCCUACCUUAUGAAAGGAAAAAAGUAGGCGAAAUAGCCCGCACUAACACGUCAGGUCAAGGUGUAGCACAUAAAAUGGCAGAGAUGGGCUACAUUUUCUGAAACAGAAAAUACGAACAGCACAUUGAAACCCGUGCUUGAAGGCGGAUUUAGCCGUAAAACAAAUAAGCUUGUUUGUUUUAAUCCCGCUCUGGAGCGCGCACACACCGCCCGUCACCCUC
RNAcentral lists this non-coding RNA (851 nucleotides) under Eutropis longicaudata (Long-tailed sun skink). RNAcentral's name for it is "partial 12S ribosomal RNA". It matches the Rfam family "Bacterial small subunit ribosomal RNA". Lineage: Eukaryota; Metazoa; Chordata; Lepidosauria; Squamata; Scincidae. The record is from RNAcentral.